RNAcentral lists this unclassified non-coding RNA (3654 nucleotides) under Hevea brasiliensis (rubber tree). Lineage: Eukaryota; Viridiplantae; Streptophyta; Magnoliopsida; Malpighiales; Euphorbiaceae. The record is from RNAcentral.
AAAAAGUUUCUCUUACUGCUUACGAUUCUUUGGUUAUUAUUAUUUGCUUUAGAUUAGAUUUUAUUCUAUAAUUUUUUAAAGAAUUUCUCAAAAAUUUCCCACCCUUAGUUGCUAGCUGUCCCCCACUGGCCCCGCAAUUCGGUUCUUUCCCCAGUGGCGUAGGAUUUCACUGUAUGUGGAUGCCAAAACCUUCUAACUUCAAAUGCAAUCUUUAAGAAGGAAGCUUUCCUUUUUUUUAAUUUUUUUUUUGAAUUUUUGAUAUGUUGUGGUGUUAAAACAACCCACAAUCAAAGCUUGUCGGUUGUGGUGUCUGCAACUGCAAAUGUGGCUCGUUUAAUAAAUGUCUGGAUUUUGCUAAACUGGCAUCUGUCUCACUUUUCAUUGGUGGGUUCAAAAACAAAAUGAAAAUUUAAUUGAUAUUUACUUUGCUUAUAUACUCUUCUUUCUAUGAUUCAUUGAUUCAAUGGCAAUAGCAAUUGGUUAGCUAAGCUAGCUCCUUUUUUCCUUUCCCCUUCUUCUUCUUUGGCCUUUUUUGCUAGCUUUGAAGCAAACCCAUUUGAUAAAUUUUAACCGUCUAAUGCUUUUCUUGUUGAUUUUCUUUUUUUCUUUUGUUUUCUUCUUUAAGUCAUUCCCUUUCAAGCCACCCCCACCACCAAUGAAUAGUGUGUGGAGAUUGUUGUUGUCACCUUUGUUUUGGGAGCAGCUUUCAGGAUUUCUUGUGUCGUGGUUUCAUAAAGAUUGGCUUUCUAUUGGUGUCUACCAAGUUCCCAUGAAAAUGCCACAGAAGAAGAUCAAUCUUGGUUUAAAACAGGCAGCAAAUGCGGAGGAAGAGAGUCCUUCUCUCCUGGAUUUGCCUGAAUUAACCUUGGAAUGCAUUCUUGAGAGACUUUCACCAUCUGGGUUGUGUAGCAUGGCAGGAGUUUGCAGCUCUUUGAGGGAUAGGUGCACAAGUGAUCAUCUGUGGAAGAAACACCUAAAGCAGAAAUGGGGUAGGCUAAUUGGCGAUGCUGCUUUUAGGGAAUGGCAAUGUCAUAUAGCUUCAAGAAAGAGGCCAGGCCUUGUGGACCAAAGCAAUCAAAAGGGUUUCUUAAGAUCUCUUGGUACUGUGUGGUCAUUUUCUUGGAUUAAACCAAAGUUUGAAACUAGAAACAAGCCAAGUACUUCUUUACCAGUUGAUUCAAUCAUGGCUAUGUAUCUCUCUCUUGAAAGAGGCAAAUUCUGGUUCCCAGCUCAGGUCUAUAACCGUGAGAAUGGACAUGUUGGGUUUUUGCUUUCCUGUUAUGAUGCUCAAAUAAGUUAUGAUUCCAAGACAGACACAUUUCAGGCAAGGUAUAUAAAGGAAAUUACUUUCUUCAAAUAAUUUAUACCUAUGUGUGGUGUAAAAAUUAGAAAAGACAUUGGGGUUGAAUUUGAUGUUGAAGAUCACAUAUAUUAAGCAGAGUCCUCUGCUGAUACUGAUUCGCAGGUAUUCUCCUUACGGACGGCGAAUGAUAGAGGAAAGCAUACACAGGGAUAGGCUAAGAGCACCACCUGUUGAUACUCCUGCACAUGAUCUUCACAUUUCUGACUGUUUAAAUGACUUGAAACCUGGUGAUCAUAUUGAGAUUCAAUGGAGAAGAAGCAAAGAAUUUCCUUAUGGUAUGUUCUCAAUCUCGACCAUGGAAAAAUUCUUGGCAAAUUAACAUGAUUUUUACUUGGAGGGUUGAGUUCAAUUUCCUUGAUUAAGCAGGUUGGUGGUAUGCUACUGUUGGUCAUACGGAAGCUUGUGAUGUGAAUGAAAAUCACUGUCCUUGUCAAUAUAAUGAUAUGGUGGCAUUGGAGUUCAACCAAUAUUCUCCCGGCUCUAGAUGGAGAAGAACCAUAAUAAACAGGAAGGAGCACAGGGAAGAAGGAAAUGAAGCUGAUGGAUUCUAUGGAGGAAUUAGAAAACUUUACAAGGAGGAAGAAAUCUCAACCUGGAAGAGGCUUUGGCCCAGACAAGUCUUUGAAUAGUAUGAUAAUUAUAGUUAUUAUUAUUAUUAUAUUAUUUUUUUUUCCCAUUCUCACUCAUUUCUCUUCUGUAAAUAGUCCUCCUUUUAGAGUCACAAAAAUGCUUCUAGGGAGAUGUUUUUCAGUUAGGCUUCAUAAGAUUUUGUUAAGCUCUCAGAGGUUUAUAUGUAUUGUAAUUUUGUAGUUAAGAAACUUCAGUUUACAGAUUAGCAAUCCUAAAGAGAAAUGCAGAUGCUUGUGCAAAGAUGAGCGCUGAACUGAAAUACACCUUUUUAUUUUCUUUUUUGAGCUCGCAGAGGCUUUUAAAGAAUGCAAAUAGCUUUUCUGAUAUGACUUCAGAGAUUUUUAAUAAGAAACGACAUAUGAAGAGAUUAGGUCCAUGAAUCUGUUUUAAAUGGAGUUAUAAGCAAACUAAAGCAGGCACUAGAUCAUUGGACUAUCAUUUCUAUAGCAAGGUGAUUUGAUAUUGUGCAAUAAGAACAUCAAAAAUUAUUUUGAGCUCUGUUUAGUUAAAAAAAAAAAAAAAUCUAGUGAUCCCAACUACUGUAUGAAGGAAUCAUUCUUGUCGAGGGUACUGCUAAGAAAAAGGCAAUAAGACCUGGAUUUCCUUAUUUGUAAAAUUAUUGUGUUUCCAUAGAAUUCAAGAUUCAGUGCAUUUGAUAAGCAUUGAAAGCAUGGUAAUUAAUCUGUAAUGGGAAAGAUAAAUGAAAUUAGAUCAGCAAGAUUACUAGGAUCUUGCGCAUACUGGCUGUGAUGUUAAUUAGCUAUGAUUAUCUGAAGCUGCAUCAAAAUGAAUCCAUUAUGCCCUAAAAUGGAAGGUUUGUGCAGGACUGCUUAAGCAGUUCCUGUACUUUAUAGUCAAUGUUAAUAGAAUUGCAGUGUUACAUUCAUUACCAAGGCUUUGGAAAUCUUUUUGCUAGAAAAUAUUUGAUUCAAGAAUGAUGGCAAUGGGAUUAGAUGGUAGGGCGUCUUCAACAACCACCAGAUAUUUUUGUUUCAGGCACUAGAAAGUGCAUGCAAAUGAACUUUGCUCAUACUCUAUAUUAAAUAAAUUAACAUAUGGUAAUAAUUGUUGUGGAUUUUAUUUGCUUGGCCUUGGUUUAAUGCUGAUAGUUGGACGCUAAUGAUGAAAGUGAUUAUGGUAGAUCCAAUAUCUAAAAUUUAAAUCUUACCAAUGCAAGAAACAUAAAGUAAUUGCUAACCGUGUUAAAAGAAGCUCUAUGGGUGAUAUUAUCUCUCAGCUGUUGCUUUCACACAUCCUUGAUAACUUCCUUACAAGCAGCUGCAAGUUUGAUAGCAGCUUUUCUAGAUUGAUUGUUUUAAUGUUCGUAAGGUUAUUUAUAGCUCAAUGAGAUUUCGUGCAUUUCAACAUCUUUCUAAAUUUUUCUAGCAACUUGUGAGGCAUUUUAUGUUUUUCCUUCUUUUUCUGUAUGCAUGAGAUGAAAUUAUCUUCCUUUGCACUUUUUGGAUACAUGAUAUUGAUGUUAUUCACUCUGUUAUGAGUAUGGUGUCAUUUUUAUUUUUGUUCGAUAUUAAGAUAUUUUAUAAGCUUAAUCUGACUCAGAUGGUUACUCUGUUCAACUGGACGCUCAGAUAACCACUGUUGUAGCUUUUAUAAUUGUUGCAUCAAACUCUUUCAUCAGGUAGCUAGUUUUCCAUUUGAUG